AACCUGCUAAAUAAUCGAUAAUCCACGUUAAUUUUUACUUUUAUUUAAAUUUUAUAUACCUCCAUCUGAAGAAUUUAUUUUCAUAUUUUUUUCUAAAAAGAUCAUCUAAUAAGUUAGGUAAAGGUGUAGACCACAUAAAAGUUAUAGUGGGUUACUUUAAAAAAAAAUUAAGGAGAGAGAAAAAAAUUUUUUUUACAAAAAGGAUUUAUUAGUAAUAUUUAAACAAUAUUUAAAUUUGAACAUGAUAAUAAAUGUGU
RNAcentral lists this ribosomal RNA (257 nucleotides) under Trichonephila clavata. Its description in RNAcentral is "partial 12S ribosomal RNA". The record is from RNAcentral. Lineage: Eukaryota; Metazoa; Arthropoda; Arachnida; Araneae; Nephilidae.